RNAcentral lists this long non-coding RNA (637 nucleotides) under Citrus x clementina. RNAcentral's name for it is "Citrus clementina (C. clementina) long non-coding RNA (CCLE_LNC004844)". Lineage: Eukaryota; Viridiplantae; Streptophyta; Magnoliopsida; Sapindales; Rutaceae. The record is from RNAcentral.
UGGGCGCUGCUGUGCCCACAGCCUAUUUUUGGCACACGGAGGCGCCUCGCAAAGUCUCGCGCCAUUCCGAGUCCGGCGGACGAAGUUGGCAUGCCCCACCCCCCAAGGCUAUAGCCCACACGUUUUUGUGCCCUUUUUUCACUGGACCAACUUGGCGCCCCGGCCUUCGGGCGGUUAUUUUUUGGUACGGCCAUGCCCACGGCCUAUUUUUGCCACAAGGAGAUGCCUCGCAAAGUCUCACGCCAUUCCGAGUCCGGCGGACGAAGUUGGCCAGCCCCACCCCCCAAGGCUAUAGCCCACCCGUUUUUGUGGCCUUUUUCCGCUGGACAAACUUGGUGCCCCGGCCUUCGGUCGGUUAUUUUUGGGCGCGGCUGUGCCCGCGGCCUAUUUUUGGCACACGGAGGUGCCUCGAAAAAUCUCGCGCCAUUCCGAAUCCGGCGGACGAAGUUGGCCAGCCCCACCCCCCAAGGCUAUAGCCCACCCGUUUUUGUGGCCUUUUUCCGCUGGACGAACUUGGCGCCCCGGCCUUCGAGGGGUGAUUUUUAGGCGCAGCUAUGCCCACGGCCAAUUUUUGGCACACGGAGGUGGCUCGUAAAGUGUCGCACCAUUCCGAGUCUGGCGGACGAAGUUUGGUAGC